UAACCUGCCCAAGAGAUCGGGAUAACACCUGGAAACAGAUGCUAAUACCGGAUAACAACAGAUGAUGCCUAUCAACUGUUUAAAAGAUGGUUCUGCUAUCACUCUUGGAUGGACCUGCGGUGCAUUAGCUAGUUGGUAGGGUAACGGCCUACCAAGGCGAUGAUGCAUGGCCGAGUUGAGAGACUGAUCGGCCACAUUGGGACUGAGACACGGCCCAAACUCCUACGGGAGGCAGCAGCU
RNAcentral lists this ribosomal RNA (240 nucleotides) under uncultured Lactobacillus sp. RNAcentral describes it as "partial 16S ribosomal RNA". It matches the Rfam family "Bacterial small subunit ribosomal RNA", at positions 122 to 355 of the family's 1533-position model. The record is from RNAcentral. Lineage: Bacteria; Bacillati; Bacillota; Bacilli; Lactobacillales; Lactobacillaceae.